UACGUAGGGGGCUAGCGUUGUCCGGAAUCAUUGGGCGUAAAGCGCGCGUAGGCGGUCCGGUAAGUCCACUGUGAAAGUCGGGGGCUCAACCCUCGAAUGCCGGUGGAUACUGUCGGGCUAGAGUGCGGAAGAGGCGAGUGGAAUUCCUGGUGUAGCGGUGAAAUGCGCAGAUAUCAGGAGGAACACCUAUUGCGAAGGCAGCUCGCUGGGACGUAACUGACGCUGAGACGCGAAAGCGUGGGGAGCAAACAGG
Molecule: ribosomal RNA, 253 nt
Filed under: uncultured bacterium
Lineage: Bacteria
Description: partial 16S ribosomal RNA
Rfam family: Bacterial small subunit ribosomal RNA
Source: RNAcentral